This 253-nucleotide ribosomal RNA is filed under the name uncultured bacterium. Its description in RNAcentral is "partial 16S ribosomal RNA". It matches the Rfam family "Bacterial small subunit ribosomal RNA", at positions 524 to 776 of the family's 1533-position model. The record is from RNAcentral.
UACGUAGGGGGCGAGCGUUGUCCGGAUUUACUGGGCGUAAAGCGCGUGUAGGCGGUCGGCCAAGUCCGGGGUGAAAGGCGGGGGCUCAACCCCCGAGCUGCGCCGGAAACUGGUCGACUUGAGUGUCGGAGAGGGGAGUGGAAUUCUCGGUGUAGCGGUGAAAUGCGUAGAGAUCGAGAGGAACACCCGUGGCGAAGGCGGCUCCCUGGCCGAACACUGACGCUGAGACGCGAAAGCGCGGGGAGCGAACGGG